This 739-nucleotide long non-coding RNA is filed under the name Pogona vitticeps (central bearded dragon). RNAcentral describes it as "lncRNA (ENSPVIG00000001314.1)". The record is from RNAcentral. Lineage: Eukaryota; Metazoa; Chordata; Lepidosauria; Squamata; Agamidae.
CCCAUCCUCUUGUUCACUUGGAACAGCAGUUUACAGUUACCUCAGGAUUUGGAAUGAAAAUGGCUUUCUUCUUUCUCACGACUGCAGGAUGGAACUGUGGCUUCCUCCUGGCAAUGGAACUGCAAUGAGUAAAUUUGAACGCAAGUUGAUUUAGUAUGGUUACUCUCGUUUUGAUUCAAUUUAUAGGGUGAACCUGGCCCACCAGGUCAGAUGGGGUCAACUGGUCCUUUGGGUCCCCGUGGAAUGGCAGGAGAAAGAGGACGCAUAGGACCCCAGGGUGCUCCAGUAAGUUACAUUUCCUGGCAUUCUUGUCCAGUCUUUGGCUCUUCCUGUUGCCUUAUAUCUCUCUUGGCCUCAUAGCCCUGGCUUACCCUCUUGCCUUAAAGCCAUAGCAGCUGCCUCUCUUUGGGAGCAGGGGCGGGGGGGGCGUUCUUUGACCCUUCUAAGGCUUUCCCCCCUCCUCCCUAGGACAAAAUAUGUAGCGUAAUAAUCUCAGCAGAUAUAGCAUAUUUAAUUUACUUCUGCUUUGCAUUUAUAAUACAGCUAGUUUGUGGUCUGAGCAGAAGGUGGGGUACUUUACCCCAAAUUUCUGGCAUAAGACCCCCUUCUCAUACCACAAGCUGCCUACAUUAAAUAUGUACCUUUGUGAAAGGCUGCUUCUUGAAAGGAUCACUUUUCUGCCAGACAUCUCUGCAACCCAUCAAGCUUCUAUUUGCUUUGUACAGUGACAGUGUAAACA